RNAcentral lists this unclassified non-coding RNA (395 nucleotides) under soil metagenome. RNAcentral describes it as "partial contains 5.8S ribosomal RNA, internal transcribed spacer 2, and large subunit ribosomal RNA". The stretch from base 1 to 122 matches the Rfam family "5.8S ribosomal RNA", at positions 35 to 154 of the family's 154-position model. The record is from RNAcentral.
GAUGAAGAACGUAGCGAAAUGCGAUACUUGGUGUGAACUGCAGAAUCCCGUGAACCAUCGAGUCUUUGAACGCAAGUUGCGCCCGAAGCCAUCAGGUUGAGGGCACGUCUGCCUGGGCGUCACAUAUCGUUGCCCAAUGCCUAUUGCAGUGCAAUAGGAAUUUCUAGGGCGAAUGAUGGCUUCCCGUGAGCGUUGUUGCCUCGCGGUUGGUUGAAAAUCGAGUCCUUGGUAGGGUGUGCCAUGGUAGAUGGUGGUCGAGUUAGAACGAUACCGAUCAUGUGCAUGCUCCCCAAAAUAUGGCCUCUAUGACCCACACGCGUCUUUUGACGCUCAUGACGAGACCUCAGGUCAGGCGGGGCUACCCGCUGAAUUUAAGCAUAUCAAUAAGCGGAGGA